Molecule: ribosomal RNA, 323 nt
Filed under: uncultured Dyella sp.
Lineage: Bacteria; Pseudomonadati; Pseudomonadota; Gammaproteobacteria; Lysobacterales; Rhodanobacteraceae
Description: bacterial SSU rRNA
Rfam family: Bacterial small subunit ribosomal RNA
Source: RNAcentral
CGGGGGAGUCGCAAGACCUCGCGCGAUCGGAUGAGCCGAUGUCGGAUUAGCUAGUUGGUGGGGUAAAGGCCGUACCAAGGCGACGAUCCGUAGCUGGUCUGAGAGGAUGAUCAGCCACACUGGGACUGAGACACGGCCCAGACUCCUACGGGAGGCAGCAGUGGGGAAUAUUGGACAAUGGGGGCAACCCUGAUCCAGCAAUGCCGCGUGUGUGAAGAAGGCCUUCGGGUUGUAAAGCACUUUUAUCGGGAACGAAACAUUGUCGGUGAAUAUCCGGCAAGACUGACGGUACCCGAGGAAUAAGCACCGGCUAACUUCGUGCC